This is a long non-coding RNA of Passer domesticus (house sparrow), 951 nucleotides long. RefSeq lists it as uncharacterized. The transcript is spliced from 3 exons. NCBI's taxonomy places the organism in Eukaryota, Metazoa, Chordata, Aves, Passeriformes, Passeridae. The record is from RefSeq and is a predicted model, not a curated record.
CCCAUCUGGGGGAUGUGACCUACCCAGUCCAGCUCCAAACUGCCACUGUUUUCAGCUCCAAGGCUUCAAGCCUGGUCAAUGUCUCAGUGAUAGUUACUUUGGCUGACUUCACACCAAUCAGGCAGCAGGGCUGGAGAGAAAAAAAAUCCUUUGUAUCUAGAAAAAAAAAGUUAUUCCUAAGGUACUUCCUUGAGCUCAACAUCUUCUAAAUUAUAAUGGAACAGCUCUGGUCUAUCUAAAAAUCCAGUACACAUACAAAAUGGAUGAAUAAAACUAGUUGUUUACUCUCAGCCUGUCUUGCUGGGCUCCUUUUUUGCAUUAUGAGGGUGAAAACAUCUAAAAGCCUUGAAACAGACCAGAGGAUAACGCAACAAUCACUCUUCCUGUCCUUUGAAGCCUCAGUUUCGACUCUUAUAACUUCUGAGUAACUUCAGAAAGGAAAAGCAUCUCCACAGGCAACAUCUCUGAAGUAAGGAGGCAGCCAAACGAGAAGAGAAGGAGCUUCCCUCUUCUUUUCCACUAAAAUGCUGCUGCCACUUGCAUUCUCCUUCACCAAAAAAUUAUGUGCCUGUGUGGUAUAAACCCAAAUUACACAAAGCAGACCACAAUACCAUAGAACCACAGAAUGGUUUGGGUUGUCAAUAUAUGACUGACAUCUUCAAAGACUGCAAAACAGUAAAGAAUGGAUUUUUUUAAAAUCAGCCCUCUUUAUCAGGCAUUGGACAUGCCAUCUAACAAGGUUUUCCAGCCACUCAUGAGACGGGAAAGUAGCAACAAGGAUAACAAGUCUCCUUGGAGAUACUUCAUAUGCUGAAGGGCUUUGUGAAGUAAAAGAUGUAUAACUAUAUAAAAUAGAGUUGUACAUAAUAUUAAAAAAGAAAAAAAAGAAAGAAAUUAUUCAGAAAAAGAUCUUCCAAUUUAGAGUACAGAACAGACUCAUAAUUAAACAUC